This 1261-nucleotide long non-coding RNA is filed under the name Bemisia tabaci. RNAcentral describes it as "lncRNA ENSSSA3NGG003296". Lineage: Eukaryota; Metazoa; Arthropoda; Insecta; Hemiptera; Aleyrodidae. The record is from RNAcentral.
UGAUCGAGCAAUAGAUUGAUCCAGCCCCUUCGAUUCAAUCCAAUACGAGAGGGACGAAUGUAAGUUGAGUCCCAAUGAAUUUAGGUCUCUAGGGGAGAAGGUAAAUUGAGUCCUGCUGAAUCCUAUUCGGCGGUACGUAAAUUGAGUCCCGGUAGCAUUAUCACUUUAUGCGCAGAGGCGUAGGAGGGGGCGCCAAAUGAGAUCCAUGCCUGGGUGGUAAAAGUCCUCGCUACGAAUCUGGCUGAGUAUUUUGGUUCUCUUUUACACAAAUACGGUUUAAGUUGAGACUCCAGUUAAAGUUGUCUAAUUUUUGGUCCUAUUAGUGUGUAAUUGCCAUUACUCUCUUUUCAGCUACAAUGUGGAUCUUGCUAUGCCUUUGCAGUGGUGGGAGCGAUAGAGAUCGUAUACGCGAAGCUAAAGAAGAAAGUUCUUGAUCUCUCAGAGCAAGAAAUCGUAGAUUGCAGUCAGGCAUUCGGCAACAACGGAUGUGGCGGCGGCGAUUUUCCUGAAACACUCGAAUUCAUCAGCAAAAAGUCGCUGGCUUCCGAAUCACAGAACCCAUACGUCGGUAAAGAAACAAAAGUAUGCAAAAAUUAGCAGGACUGGUAUCCGUCAAGAAUUGGUCAAAGGUAACCGGUCGUGCAAAUAUCCAAGCGGCAUUGAAAAAAAACAAAGCUCUUCUUGCUGGCAUUAAUGCUGACUCUAGACAAUUCCAGGUGUACAGGAAAGGUGUUAUGAAAGUGCCGAAUUGCGAUCCAAAUGCUCUGGACCAUGCAGUCGUGCUCGUUGGGUUAGAGUAGGUAUGGUACCGUUUCUCAAUUAUUUUAAUUUUAAGCGCUCAGCCGAUAGGCAGCGCUUUUUGAUUUCGACUUGCCUCUAUAGCCCUGAAUAGACGAUCAAAUUCCCGAACCAAUUCCGAUCAAAGUAGCAUCAAAGUGCCGGGAGUCAUCAGUCUUAAACUCAUUAAUUUGCUUCAUUUUAAAAUGAAAACUUGGUAGAAAUGUUUCUUGUGGCAGGAAAUGAUGAAUGGUGGCACUCCGUUCUGAUCUUACUUUGAACAAAAAAGUGCGGCCCGUCAAAAUUUGAUGGUAGAUGGUGACCACCAGUCAUCAGCAUGUCUACUUUGAUCGGAAUUGGUUCGGAAUUUGAUCGUCUAUCCAGGGCUUUCAAUACUAGUAUACUAGUGCUAAUUCGUUUCAAAUGGCGCACCAGCUCAUCGAUGUGUAGGUUUUUUUUUUUUUGGGGGGGGGGGGGGUCCAGU